RNAcentral lists this unclassified non-coding RNA (364 nucleotides) under uncultured bacterium. RNAcentral describes it as "contains 16S-23S intergenic spacer region". The record is from RNAcentral.
UCCGGCUUCCCGCCGGCAGUCUCCCGAGAGUCCCCGACUUUACUCGCUGGUAACACGGGAUAGGGGUUGCGCUCGUUGCGGGACUUAACCCAACAUCUCACGACACGAGCCGACGACAGCCAUGCAGCACCUUGCUACCUGCCCGAAGGAAACCCCCUUUCAGGGGCUGUCAGGUAGCAUUCGAGCCUGGGUAAGGUUCUUCGCGUUGCAUCGAAUUAAGCCACAUGCUCCACCGCUUGUGCGGGCCCCCGUCAAUUCCUUUGAGUUUCAUUCUUGCGAACGUACUCCCCAGGUGGUAUGCUUACUGCGUUAACUGCGUCACUGCCCCCGACAGCUAGUCAUCAUCGUUUACGGCGUGGACUAC